RNAcentral lists this ribosomal RNA (253 nucleotides) under uncultured bacterium. RNAcentral describes it as "partial 16S ribosomal RNA". It matches the Rfam family "Bacterial small subunit ribosomal RNA", at positions 524 to 776 of the family's 1533-position model. The record is from RNAcentral.
UACAGAGGGUGCGAGCGUUGUCCGGAAUCACUGGGCGUAAAGGGCGCGUAGGUGGCGACCCAAGUCGAUGGUGAAAGCUCGCCGCUCAACGGCGAGUCGGCCACCGAUACUGGGUUGCUCGAGCACUGUAGAGGCAGAUGGAAUUCCGGGUGUAGCGGUGGAAUGCGUAGAGAUCCGGAAGAACACCGGUGGCGAAGGCGGUCUGCUGGGCAGUAGCUGACACUGAGGCGCGACAGCGUGGGGAGCAAACAGG